GUAGGUGAACCUGCGGAAGGAUCAUUACAGAGUAUCAUGCCCUCACGGGUAGAUCUCCACCCUUGAAUAACAUACCUUUGUUGCUUUGGCAGGACGCACUCGUGCCAGGGGCUUCGGCUGGUAAGUGCCCGCCAGAGGACCCAAAACCUUGAAUAUUAGUGUCGUCUGAGUAAAAAGUUUAAUAUUUAAAACUUUCAACAACGGAUCUCUUGGCUCUG
This 218-nucleotide unclassified non-coding RNA is filed under the name rhizosphere metagenome. RNAcentral's name for it is "partial ribosomal RNA internal transcribed spacer region". The record is from RNAcentral.